RNAcentral lists this ribosomal RNA (490 nucleotides) under uncultured bacterium. Its description in RNAcentral is "partial 16S ribosomal RNA". It matches the Rfam family "Bacterial small subunit ribosomal RNA", at positions 30 to 507 of the family's 1533-position model. The record is from RNAcentral.
AUUGAACGCUGGCGGCAGGCCUAACACAUGCAAGUCGAACGGUAUCAGGAAACAGCUUGCUGUUUCGCUGACGAGUGGCGGACGGGUGAGUAAUGUCUGGGAAACUGCCUGAUGGAGGGGGAUAACUACUGGAAACGGUAGCUAAUACCGCAUAACGUCGCAAGACCAAAGAGGGGGACCUUCGGGCCUCUUGCCAUCGGAUGUGCCCAGAUGGGAUUAGCUAGUAGGUGGGGUAACGGCUCACCUAGGCGACGAUCCCUAGCUGGUCUGAGAGGAUGACCAGCCACACUGGAACUGAGACACGGUCCAGACUCCUACGGGAGGCAGCAGUGGGGAAUAUUGCACAAAGGGCGCAAGCCUGAUGCAGCCAUGCCGCGUGUAUGAAGAAGGCCUUCGGGUUGUAAAGUACUUUCAGCGGGGAGGAAGGGAGUAAAGUUAAUACCUUUACUCAUUGACGUUACCCGCAGAAGAAGCACCGGCUAACUCCGUG